GUGCCAGCCGCCGCGGUAAUACAGAGGGUGCGAGCGUUGUCCGGAAUCACUGGGCGUAAAGGUCGCCUAGGCGGCCUGAUAAGUAGGGGGUGAAAUCCUGCAGCUUAACUGCAGGGCUGCCUCCUAAACUGUUGGGCUAGAGCACGGUAGAGGCAGAUGGAAUUCCCGGUGUAGCGGUGGAAUGCGUAGAGAUCGGGAAGAACAUCAGUGGCGAAGGCGGUCUGCUGGGCCGUUGCUGACGCUGAGGCGCGACAGCGUGGGGAGCAAACAGGAUUAGAAACCCUGGUAGUCC
This 292-nucleotide ribosomal RNA is filed under the name uncultured bacterium. RNAcentral's name for it is "partial 16S ribosomal RNA". It matches the Rfam family "Bacterial small subunit ribosomal RNA", at positions 505 to 796 of the family's 1533-position model. The record is from RNAcentral.